CAGUCGCCGCGGUAAUACGUAGGUCCCGAGCGUUGUCCGGAUUUAUUGGGCGUAAAGGGAGCGCAGGCGGUUUAGUAAGUCUGAAGUUAAAGGCAUUGGCUCAACCAAUGUAUGCUUUGGAAACUGUUAGACUUGAGUGCAGAAGGGGAGAGUGGAAUUCCAUGUGUAGCGGUGAAAUGCGUAGAUAUAUGGAGGAACACCGGUGGCGAAAGCGGCUCUCUGGCUUGUAACUGACGCUGAGGCUCGAAAGCGUGGGGAGCAAACAGGAUUAGAUACCCCAGUAGUCCCUGUCUCUUAUACA
RNAcentral lists this ribosomal RNA (301 nucleotides) under uncultured bacterium. Its description in RNAcentral is "partial 16S ribosomal RNA". It matches the Rfam family "Bacterial small subunit ribosomal RNA", at positions 509 to 808 of the family's 1533-position model. The record is from RNAcentral.